AAAAACAUAGCUAUAAGUAAUUAUUUAUAGUUAUACCUGCCCAAUGUAUUAAAAUUAUAAAUGGCCGCGGUACCCUGACCGUGCUAAGGUAGCGUAAUAAGUUGGCUUUUAAAUGGAGUCAGGUAUGAAUGGAUAAACUGGAUUUAGCUGUCUCAUUUACAUUAUGUUGAAUUUACUAUACAAGUGAAAAAGCUUGUUUUUAAUAAGGGGACGAGAAGACCCUUAAAAUUUUAUUAAAAACUUCUAAUGGUAGUUACAAUUUUGUUGGGGCGACAUAGGAAUAUUUAGAACUUCCUAUAAAAUAUAGGUCGGAUUUAUCAGGAAAGAAUAAAUUACUUAAGGGAUAACAGCAUAAUUCUAAAGUUGAGUUUGUGACCUCGAUGUUGGAUUAGGAAGCUAGUAGGUUAGAUGCUUACUGUGGAGAUUCUGUUCGAAUUAUAACUCCUACGUGAUC
Molecule: ribosomal RNA, 454 nt
Filed under: Phestilla viei
Lineage: Eukaryota; Metazoa; Mollusca; Gastropoda; Nudibranchia; Trinchesiidae
Description: partial 16S ribosomal RNA
Rfam family: Bacterial large subunit ribosomal RNA
Source: RNAcentral